This 75-nucleotide transfer RNA is filed under the name Oscillospiraceae bacterium. RNAcentral describes it as "tRNA-Glu". It matches the Rfam family "tRNA". From Rfam's summary of the family: Transfer RNA (tRNA) molecules are approximately 80 nucleotides in length. Their secondary structure includes four short double-helical elements and three loops (D, anti-codon, and T loops). The record is from RNAcentral. Lineage: Bacteria; Bacillati; Bacillota; Clostridia; Eubacteriales; Oscillospiraceae.
GGCUCGUUGGUCAAGCGGUUAAGACACCGGCCUCUCACGCCGGUAGCGUGGGUUCAACUCCCGCACGAGUCACCA